UGGGGAAUAUUGCGCAAUGGGCGAAAGCCUGACGCAGCAACGCCGCGUGAGUGAUGAAGGCCUUCGGGUCGUAAAGCUCUGUCGGAGGGAACGAAUGCUCCUGAAGUUAACAGCCUCAGGAGGUGACGGUACCCUCAAAGGAAGCACCGGCUAACUCUGUGCCAGCAGCCGCGGUAAUACGUAGGGACCAAGCGUUGUUCGGAUUUACUGGGCGUAAAGGGCGCGUAGGCGGCAUGACAAGUCACUUGUGAAAUCUCUGGGCUUAACCCAGAACGGCCAAGUGAUACUGUCGCGCUAGAGUGCAGAAGGGGCAAUCGGAAUUCUUGGUGUAGCGGUGAAAUGCGUAGAUAUCAAGAGGAACACCUGAGGUGAAGACGGGUUGCUGGGCUGACACUGACGCUGAGGCGCGAAAGCCAGGGGAGCAAACGGGAUUAGAUACCCCGGUAGUCCCUGAGCGGGCUGGCAAGGCGCAU
This 473-nucleotide ribosomal RNA is filed under the name uncultured bacterium. RNAcentral describes it as "bacterial SSU rRNA". It matches the Rfam family "Bacterial small subunit ribosomal RNA", at positions 355 to 825 of the family's 1533-position model. The record is from RNAcentral.